AAUCUUCAACCCACCUGUUUCUUGUCAAACAGAGUGGUGCUUUGGAUCAUGGGCGUCUUUGCUGGCCCCCAAGCCGGGGUUGGCUCGCCUGGAAUGCAUGAGCAGCAUCGUACCUCGACAUCUGGCUUGACUUGGCGUGAUAGGUUAUUUCGCUGGGGACAACACUUCGGGUGUUGGCCGAGUCGUGGAAAGAGGGCUACCAAUGAAAUGUACUCUAAAU
RNAcentral lists this unclassified non-coding RNA (220 nucleotides) under uncultured Sporidiobolales. Its description in RNAcentral is "sequence contains ITS2". The record is from RNAcentral. RNAcentral also lists the same sequence under 1 other name. Lineage: Eukaryota; Fungi; Basidiomycota; Microbotryomycetes; Sporidiobolales.